Molecule: long non-coding RNA, 4269 nt
Organism: Gallus gallus (chicken)
Lineage: Eukaryota; Metazoa; Chordata; Aves; Galliformes; Phasianidae
Exons: 7
Source: RefSeq, a predicted model, not a curated record
UCAUUGUGACCCCAUCCGGACAAGCGCUCGCAUCACUGAAGCCAACACAACUGCAGGAGCUGCCUGCUAGGCUGGCAUCAUGGGAGCUGCGCUGGGGGAUGCAGAUCCAUGAUGUUACUGCAUUCAGUUAUCUCAGAUCACUAUGGAGUUUCCUGGAUUGUUCCUUCUUGCCUGCCAGGACCUUUGCAGAGAUUUUCUAGGCGUUAAUGCAUGGAGUGAAACUGAGUGCAGUGAUCUCCCCAGACCUGAGAAAACUUGCUCGUGACUUUCCUUACCACGGAUCUAGAAAGACAUCUACCACACAUCUAUCAAAAUCGCUGCCUUCAUCCUUCACUGUCGCUGUAUUUUUGCCACCCGUGUCUGUCCUGUGGCCACCAGCUCUCCUGAAUGUUAUGCUCUCUCCAAUUAGGCAAGGUUUCUUAUCUGCAUUAUUGCUGUGGAAGGAACCUUAGGAGUUUGGACCCCACAGUGCUGAGAGCGGCAUAAAACCAGCCAGGAACCAUGAUCAUAGAGAGCUAACAAAUCCUUUUUGGCUCACUUUAUGUUUUAAUACCUUGACAUUGCUUAAAAAAAGAAAUUACGGAGAGCGGUCCAAAAGUUUCCACUAGAGGCAUUUCCCUGGGAACCUCGUGUCUCUGCAUACUAGACAGCACAGUUCAAUGCUCCUGAGCAUCUUGGGGCUGUCAGGAGAACAACCUGUCAUUCACAGCCUAACAAAAGGCUCCUCCUACCCCAUAUUAAGUUAUUAUCUGUGUUUUCAAGCAUUGUUCCAGGACAGUCUCAUCAUGGAAAAGGUUAUCCCCUGUCUAUUGAACAUUUCUUCACUGUCUUUUCCCCCACACACAUUUAAAAAGCACCUCUCAGGCACCCAAAAAUGCAAGUCUGGAAAGAAAUUUCAGGAUUUCCAAAAUAUGUUUGAAGGAGAGGAAAUCAUUCACUCUCAUGCUGAAAUUAAGGUGUGUCAAAGUGUUAAAAUUUGUUCUGGAGCUUCAAGGGUUAAAAACGUGUUCUAAAAUGUGAGUUGAGGUAAUCUCACGUUUUAGCAAAACUGUUGUCUGAUAACACACCCACCGCCUUUUGAUGAUAUGGAAGGAACUGCCGGAGGAACGGAAGAGGGUGCUGUCAGUCUCAGGUAAGAUGCAUUUAGCAAAGCUGAUAGUAGCCCAGACAGUCUCUCUUGCAGGAAAGUAGGGGGAAAGGAAGCACACCACGUAGGUUCAGCCCCAGUUGAUGGGCUUGAGCCACUCAGCCAGCUGCAGCUCCCUGCUCCAAAUUCUGCACAGUGCAGAGCCCAGCAACAGGGAUGAACUUCUUGCUUGGCAUCAGAUGCCCAGAGGCACUGCAUGGCAUAUUAAGCAUCAUGUAGGCAUGUGAUCCUAAGUCACUGGCAGCAUCCCAGCAGAGUCAUAUUCCCAUUGCAUUCCUUGGAUAUCUCCCAGCCACUGGCCUGAGAAAGUCACUAACCUUCAUAUGCUUCAUUGUUCUGGCGGGAUGUCUCCAUCCGGAUGGUGUCGCGUGACUUCUGCUGACCACUGAGCAUGCACUUACACAGCUCAUCCCAGAAACAUCUGAUCUAACAGACACAUUCUGGCAAUACCACACCCCCUGCUCCUCAACACCCACCAGCAGGAUGCACAUCUCUUCCAGAGCUGCGGAGCAGCUGGAAAGAAAUGGAAGGAAUGAUAACCUCCAGGACAAUCCUGAGUCAUAAAAUAUUGAUAAUAAUUGACUCAAAGAAAGAAAGAAGAGUUUUCUAGGAAAGCUACGAGACAACUGAGGAAACAUGUCUAGGAGAGUGAAACCUCAGUCAUGGCAAAGCACUUCUGGAAUCCAAAUGAAGAUGGAGAUGUCAUGGAAACUUGGAUCUGGAUGAUCCAACAUUCCUCCAGCUUUGCAGUGGAAGGCCAUGGAGAUACUGCAUGACAGAGAAGGAGGUGCACCCAUGUUCCCCCUCACAAGGACAUGAGGGAAUUGGGACCAACUGCUGCUGCCACCACUGCCACCUGCUGAGAUCUCCAGCUCAAAGUGACCUGGACCUACUCCAUCUUCUGGGGCAGAGAGGCUACAGACACCUGGGGUCAGACUGGCAAAAGUACCGAGUGAUCUGCAUUGCAAGCAAAGUGCCUUCAGAGUAACAUUAUGGGAGUCUCUGGUUCCAGAGGUUCAAGAAUCCUGGCCAUUCCCAGCAGAAACCCUGGAAAGAAGUUCCCUGUACCACAAUCCCUCUUGUUUCAGCCAAGGAUGUAUUUUGCCCUCAUGGAUAUUUUGUAUCAGGCUAUCACAUGUUUGCCACUGAUUUCCUCUCCAAUUUGGGUGACUUCAGCAUCAAAGCUCACUAACAAGGGCCUUCUAGAGGCUGCUCAGCUCAUUUGCUUCUAUCAUCUCAACUUCAUGUCUUGCCCAAAGAUGUUCUCAAGUGUUCUAAUUUAUUCACUGAACUUUUCCCAACAUUAGGCUUUCUUGUCCACCCACCAUUCUCCACUCCCCCUCCCAGUCCUCUCCACAAUUUUCGUUUCCUUGUCCUCUUCUCACAGUACGUGCUCAGCUCUUACAUUCACCAAAAGCAAUUGUUUUUUCUUAUAUAUCUGCAAUUUUGUCUUUCACAACAGUAAUCCUCUGCACUCUGUAGAUUUUAAUAACAUGCCAUUGUCUGAACAUAUAUAAUAUGCACUUUAAAAAAUGAAGAAGAAAAACAAACAUAUGACUGUAAAGUGAACGGCCAGUUAGUGAUUCCAACUCCCCUAAUCUCUCUGUCCUCAUUUCACUUCAGUAAAAUGGAAGUUGGUGCUUGCUCCUUCUUCUUUUCGCAAGAGCUGCAGUAAGGGGAAAUCUCUACAUAUUUGUGAACCGCUCAGAUUUAGAGUGAAAGUGUCACAGAAAAGCCCAUGAGGAAAUGUAAUCAGUUUGCACUCUACCCAAAGCUUAAGUGGUGUUCGGUAAACAAGGUCUGAGGUCAAGUGAUGAGGGUAAGAAAAAAUUCUGAAUACUCACUCAGGGAACACAGCGACGAUCUAUCGUAUACAGUGAUCAUCUUGUGACUGUGACACAAUGCAGACACAUACAGAAGGCUGAAAUAAGGCACAAAGAGUAAUCGUGACUUUAGAAUUUCUCAUUUCUGAGCACUUCCUGUUUCCAGCCAUGGUGGUUUUUUCAUGUCAUUCCUAAGAGGUAAUAAGAACACUGAGAAUAUAGAAAUGAGCAUCCAUCUAUCUGAAGUACUAUGCAGCUAACGUAUUUAGAACAAUAUUUCUUGGUUAUCCUCGUGCCCUCUGUGACAAUACAAAAUUGGACUUCAUGGAACACAAGCCAUUACCUCCUUCGGAAGCCUCAGGAACUGUUCAUAUUCCUGUGCACUUCCCUCUUUAAUCUUUUCCCCAUUAUACUCAAGGUAAAUUUUCCUUUAGCGCUAUUCUACCAAUUAUAUCUUUACAAACAGGCAAGCAUCCUGUUAAAGUCUCUUUAUCCUGGCUACAGUAGAAACAAGUGAGCGUGAAUAGGUACUACCAUGCCCCCAUAAAUACAGCCAGCCAUCACAGAUCCAAACCAAGCAGGUUUGGGUCAUUGUCCCACAGCAGUCUUCCAAAACCUGUCUGAUCCGUCCAGGCCCUCUGUCACCAUUGUUGGUUUGCUGGGCACAACAUCCAGGUUAGCACUGGACCCUGGCUUGGUGUGCCACAGAUUUCAGAGCAAGACUGUUUUGUGCAUGCUUUGUUCCAGUAGGACCAAACUCCACUGACCAUCCUUGUGGCCAAACUGCACGCCAAGGUCUUAUCAACUGUCCUCCACAUAUUGGCCCACCUACUGCCUUCCAUUUAUUGAGCCCUAUGUCUGUCUUUAACUAGCACACUAACAGGUUCUCCCAAUAUCACAUCCACCAAGGUUCUCCUCCCUUCUCACGGGCUGUGUGUUUUGGGUUGAUUAACAGGUGUUUGUUUUGUGAGGGCUUUUCCAAGAUCAAAAUGCUAAUUUUUUUUGCUUGGCUCUCCAAAGUCACGUUGUAUUUGUUCUCUGUCUAAACUUGCAUUUGCAAUUCAGCCCUGCUAAGUAGCAUUAGUUGAUGCCAUUAAUGGCCUUUUAACUCCCCACAACCCGAUUAAUAGUGGAGAUAUUAAGUACACCCAAAAGUAAUGUUUACAAAAGCACCCAUGUGAUUUAGAAGCAUGAGUCCUGUCAAAUGUCUCUGUGUCAGCUUUGCCUUUAAAAGUGAACUUCAAAGUCUGACACAGACCCAGAGAGGUGGGAGCAAGCUUUGUUUUUUGGGUGGUUGUU